RNAcentral lists this ribosomal RNA (1712 nucleotides) under Paenibacillus sp. Aloe-11. Its description in RNAcentral is "bacterial LSU rRNA". It matches the Rfam family "Bacterial large subunit ribosomal RNA", at positions 340 to 2048 of the family's 2925-position model. The record is from RNAcentral. Lineage: Bacteria; Bacillati; Bacillota; Bacilli; Caryophanales; Paenibacillaceae.
GUCUGGAAAGGCCCGCCAGAGAAGGUAAAAGCCCUGUAGUUCAAAACCCGUUCCCUCCGAGACGGAUCCCGAGUAGUGCGGGGCACGUGAAACCCCGUAUGAAUCCGGCAGGACCAUCUGCCAAGGCUAAAUACUCCCUGGCGACCGAUAGUGAAGCAGUACCGUGAGGGAAAGGUGAAAAGCACCCCGGAAGGGGAGUGAAAUAGAUCCUGAAACCGUGUGCUUACAAGAAGUCAGAGCCCAAUUUAGGGGUGAUGGCGUGCCUUUUGUAGAAUGAACCGGCGAGUUACGUUCCCGUGCAAGGUUAAGGUGAAGAGCUGAAGCCGCAGCGAAAGCGAGUCUGAAUAGGGCGAAUGAGUACGUGGACGUAGACCCGAAACCGGGUGAUCUACCCCUGUCCAGGGUGAAGGUGCGGUAACACGCACUGGAGGCCCGAACCCACGCAUGUUGAAAAAUGCGGGGAUGAGGUGGGGGUAGCGGAGAAAUUCCAAUCGAACCCGGAGAUAGCUGGUUCUCCCCGAAAUAGCUUUAGGGCUAGCCUCGGAAAACAGAGUCGUGGAGGUAGAGCACUGAUUGGGUGCGGGGUCCGCAAGGGUUACCAAGCUCAGUCAAACUCCGAAUGCCAUAGACUUACUUCCGGGAGUCAGACAGUGAGUGCUAAGAUCCAUUGUCAAAAGGGAAACAGCCCAGACCAUCAGCUAAGGUCCCCAAGUGUGUGUUAAGUGGGAAAGGAUGUGGAGUUGCACAGACAACCAGGAUGUUGGCUUAGAAGCAGCCACCAUUGAAAGAGUGCGUAAUAGCUCACUGGUCGAGUGACUCUGCGCCGAAAAUGUAACGGGGCUAAACACACCACCGAAGCUAUGGCUUGAUGCUUGCAUCAGGGGUAGGGGAGCGUUGAAUGCGGGUUGAAGGUGUACCGGAAGGAGCGCUGGACUGCAUUCAAGUGAGAAUGCCGGUAUGAGUAACGAAAAGAUCUGUGAGAAUCAGAUCCGCCGAAAGCCUAAGGGUUCCUGAGGAAGGUUCGUCCGCUCAGGGUAAGUCGGGACCUAAGGCGAGGCCGAUAGGCGUAGUCGAAGGACAACAGGUCGAAAUUCCUGUACCACCGUAAUCCGUUAUGAGCGAUGGGGUGACGCAGUAGGGUAGUGAUGCGGACUGAUGGAUGUCCGUCCAAGCAGUGAGGCUGGUGUGUAGGCAAAUCCGCACAGCGUAAGGCUGGGCUGUGAUGGGGAGCGAAAAUUGCAGGAGCGAAGGUCAUGAUCUCAGACUGCCAAGAAAAGCCUCUAGCCAGGAGAAGGUGCCCGUACCGCAAACCGACACAGGUAGGCGAGAAGAGAAUUCUAAGGCGCGCGGAAGAACUCUCGUUAAGGAACUCGGCAAAAUGACCCCGUAACUUCGGGAGAAGGGGUGCCUCGGUAGGGUGAAUAGCCCGAGGGGGCCGCAGUGAAAAGGCCCAAGCGACUGUUUAGCAAAAACACAGGUCUGUGCGAAGCCGCAAGGCGAAGUAUACGGGCUGACGCCUGCCCGGUGCUGGAAGGUUAAGGGGAGUGGUAAGCUCUUUAAGAGCGAAGCUAUGAACCGAAGCCCCAGUAAACGGCGGCCGUAACUAUAACGGUCCUAAGGUAGCGAAAUUCCUUGUCAGGUAAAUUCUGACCCGCACGAAUGGCGUAACGACUUGGGCGCUGUCUCAACGAGAGAUCCGGUGAAAUUUUAAU